Molecule: ribosomal RNA, 546 nt
Filed under: uncultured bacterium
Lineage: Bacteria
Description: bacterial SSU rRNA
Rfam family: Bacterial small subunit ribosomal RNA
Source: RNAcentral
GGGGAAUAUUGCGCAAUGGGGGCAACCCUGACGCAGCCAUGCCGCGUGAAUGAAGAAGGCCUUCGGGUUGUAAAGUUCUUUCGGUAUUGAGGAAGGUUGUUGUGUUAAUAGCACGACAAAUUGACGUUAAAUACAGAAGAAGCACCGGCUAACUCCGUGCCAGCAGCCGCGGUAAUACGGAGGGUGCGAGCGUUAAUCGGAAUAACUGGGCGUAAAGGGCACGCAGGCGGACUUUUAAGUGAGGUGUGAAAUCCCCGGGCUUAACCUGGGAAUUGCAUUUCAGACUGGGAGUCUAGAGUACUUUAGGGAGGGGUAGAAUUCCACGUGUAGCGGUGAAAUGCGUAGAGAUGUGGAGGAAUACCGAAGGCGAAGGCAGCCCCUUGGGAAUGUACUGACGCUCAUGUGCGAAAGCGUGGGGAGCAAACAGGAUUAGAUACCCUGGUAGUCCACGCUGUAAACGCUGUCGAUUUGGGGAUUGGGCCUUGAGCUUGGUGCCCGAAGCUAACGUGAUAAAUCGACCGCCUGGGGAGUACGGCCGCAAGGUUA